Molecule: ribosomal RNA, 253 nt
Filed under: uncultured bacterium
Lineage: Bacteria
Description: partial 16S ribosomal RNA
Rfam family: Bacterial small subunit ribosomal RNA
Source: RNAcentral
UACGGAGGGUGCAAGCGUUAAUCGGAAUUACUGGGCGUAAAGCGCACGCAGGCGGCUUGUUAAGUCAGAUGUGAAAUCCCCGGGCUCAACCUUGGAACUGCAUCUAAUACUAGCAAGCUUGAGUCUCGUAGAGGGGGGUAGAAUUCCAGGUGUAGCGGUGAAAUGCGUAGAGAUCUGAAGGAAUACCGGUGGCGAAGGCGGCCCCCUGGACGAAGACUGACGCUGAGGUGCGAAAGCUUGGGGAGCAAACGGG